Crotalus tigris (Tiger rattlesnake) is the source of this 4127-nucleotide long non-coding RNA. RefSeq lists it as uncharacterized. The transcript has 3 exons. The record is from RefSeq and is a predicted model, not a curated record. Lineage: Eukaryota; Metazoa; Chordata; Lepidosauria; Squamata; Viperidae.
CAGAGAGGGCUCUGAGUGCCGCCUCUGGCACCCGUGCCAUAGGUUCGCCACCAUUGUGCCAGACAUUGCCGUGUUCCCAUAAGAUGCUCAACCUGAAACUAACCACCCUACUUCAGCCUUCACUAACCUAUUGUGCAAAUUUGGCCUAGUGCUAGUUUGGGGAGGGGGAGGAGAUUAGGCUACUUUCUGAAGCUGGUGUGUGUUUGUGUAUGUGUGUGUGUGUGACUUCCCUGUGGCAACCUAUAAAGGAUUUGAAGAAGGCAGUUGAGACUGAACAAACUUUUUUUUUAACCCAUCUCUCCUUGGGAGACGGAUUCUGCUUGCCUGCUUGCCUUUUGGUUCCUCUUUUCAUGUUUCUUGGAACUUUCUUGAAACUUUCUUGUGACUGGAACUGUGCAGUUCAUUCAUGGCUGUAUCUGAGCCUGGAAAAGUAUCUCUUCCUGGUAGAUUGGACCUGAAAUUACACACAUGUGCCUGUGUGUACCCACUCCCCCCCCCACACUAUUUCAUACUACUACGAUGGCAAUCACGUACUCCACUAAGAUCUUUUUUUCCCAAGCGAAUGAUACUUGCACGCUUGAUUUCUGUUUCCCACUUGAAGAAUUUUGCAUUGAUCUCUCCUAAAUUUUAUUCUGUUUGUCCAAUUUUCUAAUCAAUUAAGAUCAUUCUGGGUUUUUUCCCUGUUAGCUAGCUUAAUGUAGCAGAAGGCAGAUUCCAAUUGGAAUUUGAAUUUUUUUUAAAAAAAAAAGACAAGAGAAAUAUUCCUAACAGUAAGAGCAGUCUGAAGGGGGGGGAGGGAUGCUUUUCGGAGCAGGGGAUCUUCAUGAGAUGCCAGACUUUUGUUUGGGUUCCUGCCUGGAACAGAGGACUGGACCUGGGAUCCCUCAACUCUAGGAUUUCGCGAUGACCAGUAGCCCAAUCUCAGCCAUGAGUUGUUCCCUUUAGAAGAAGGCCCUCAUCCACUUAUGUCCCAAUUUAGUAGCCAGGGUUGAGCCUGCAUUUCACUUUUCAGUACAGAUGUAGCAUAAUUAAAUUAUCAAAGCUUCCUUGGUUGUUUGGCUUCAUAAAUUAACAUUUUCCUACUGUAUAUGCUACUCUGUUUGAACUCUGAAACUAAGCGGAAUUUGGCCUGGCCACUGCUUGCUCACUAGGGAAUCCCAGGGUUAUAGAUUAGCCAGCAAAUCUGAGCAAAGAAUCGUUGAAAUAGGGUGGGAACUUUUUCCACCCUGUAGCCUUGAACCUGUCCACGAAGCCACCAGUGCUUGAGCUUAACUUGAAGAAAACCCUCUUCAGUAAGUGGGGCGGCUAUCGUUCUUUGUUGCGUUAUUUCUCCCCAUCCCCGUCACAUCAUUAUUGUGCUUUGGGCACUGUGUGGGAUCCAAACUAGCAUGGCCUGUUCUUUUAUCUUGGUUCUGUGUUAAAAUAUUCGUAGAAGCAGGAGAUAAGAACAGGUUUGCCUGUAGAUGUGUGAUAGACCAGCAGUAGGAGUUCCAUUGUCCUCCACUUGUGCUCUGCCGGUACUUGUUUACUUGACUAGUAAGAGACACUUCUCAGUUCUCAGCUUUUGGUCCUCCAAAGAAGCAUGAACUUGACAAUGCCGCUUCUGAAAGUUUCUCACCAUUUGGCCUAUUGCUCUGCUGCUGAUGGGCCCAUCCUUCACCGAAGAACUACUUUUAAAGAGUCAUCACUUAAGGUGUGUUUUGCAACCUGUGACAUUUUCCAUCCGAGACUUGGGAUCAGGUGUUUCAUGAUGCGGCUGGAGAAGCAGCCCAGGAGUCUCUGUCAGUGGCCAAGUCCUUAUCCAGCAAGUCCACUUGGCUUUGUCUCCCAGAGUUGUGUGUUGCAAGCAUCUCCUUGGCUGAGGCCCAGCACUCCCUAAACCCGUCUUGCUGGAGCCACAAUCUGCUCCACAACUCGUCUUGCUCGGAUUGCAUUUCACCAACUCCCACUGUUGUCAACGAGGCCCUGAGGAGGAUUUCUUCCAGCCCAGGCUCGCCCACAACGAGUUGCUUGGCUGCUCUUGCUGCAAUUUUGUGAGAAGCAGCUCUCCUUGGUGGCGGCAGUGGCUGGCUGACAGCCAGUUCCAAUCCAGUGGGCAGAGAACGAGGUUUGCAUCACUCUCGUCUGGGAAAGUGAGAGGCCUGCCACCGUGCCCCACGCAGCCCCGUGCCUCUAGGGCUCAAGAGGAAGCCACAUCUCUGGACCAGGCCAGAACAGGCAGCUGCCAUCCUCCUUGCCUCCAGCCAGUGUUGCUUUGCUUUCUGAAGAUAGAGCAUUGCGGAGGUGGGGUUGAGGGAGCAACACACUUCCGCUGAAAACAACAGGAAAUUAAAACAAAAACAAAUGGCUGCAGAGUGCAGAUUUCUGAAAUGGUGUCAACUGACUGCAGAGCAGAAGGGAAAAAAAAGGGAAUCACCCGAAAGAAACAGGAUCUGAAGCGCAGAGUUUGGACAACAAGGCAGAUGGUCUUUCCCAGCAUCCCCUUCUCCAAAUAUAUACUUUGCUGUUGCCCAAUUAGAGGUGUGGGUGAUCUCCUCUUUCUUGGCAGCCCUCUUUCAAGGCACAUGUGGAUCUGGUUUCCAGUCCCCUCAUCGCCUUGCUAGCCAUCCUCUGAACUGGCUCCAGUUUGUCAGUGUCCUUAAAGGAGUUCAGUGCCUGGAACUGGCCACAUUAUUCUGGGGGAGGGGGACUCUAACCAAGAUAGAGUGGGGCAAUGCUGUCCGGUGAUCUGAAUUAUGCUUCAAUUAACAUACCAUAAGGGGGCAUUUGUUUUGUCAGCAGCUGCAUCACACCGUUCAAUCAUGUUCAAGUUCAACAUUCAGAUCCUUUUCGCAUCUUCCACUGCCAAGCCGGUUUCCUCCCCCCCCCGCAUCCUGUAAUUUGCUCCCCCUGUUUUCUCCCUCUAUGCAGGAAUAAUUUCUAUUUCUCUCCUACCUUGCCAAGGCUCCAUUGGUUUCCCUAUGCUCAUUUGAUGAAAAUAUUUAGAUAAGAAUUAUUAAUUUAAAAAUAGUAAGAUUGAAUUUGAUAUGGAGUUGUGUACAAACGAUCGUGUUAUUGCUAAGAUGUAUGAACUUUUAUUGAAAAUGGAAACAGGAUGAACACAUUAUGCAGUAUAAAGUGGGCAAUUUUUUUGAUUAUAAUAUACAGUUUGAUCAGUUGGAGAAAAUGUAAAACAUUUACACUGAAUCAUAAUCUCAAAGAGAAUUUUUAUAAAAUGAUGUAUCAUUGAUAUAUGACAUCAGAUAAACUGUGAAGAAUGUAUAUGAAAAUUUCAAAUAUUUGUUGGAAAUGUAAUCACAUUGAGGGUAAGUUUUUUCAUCCUUGGUGGGCAAAUAAGAAAGCUAAAAAUAUUGGGAUCAAAUAUGUAUUCUGAUUCAGAAGACUUUAAAAAUGAAGGUACACUUGAAAUUAGAGAUUUUUUUGAUUUAAUGGACAAACAAAUGGAAACAUCUUAUGCAAAGUUGCUUUUAUAUAUGCUAACAACAGCAAGACUUUUAUAGCAAUAGCACUUAGACUUAUAUACCGCUUCACAAUGCUUUACAGCCCUCUCUAAGCGGUUUACAGAGUCAGUAUCUUUCCCCAACAAUCUGGCUUCUCAGUUUACUGACUUCAGGAGGAUGGAAGGCUGAGUCAACCUUGAGCUGGUGCGGAUCGAACUGCUGAACUGCUGGCAGAGUUAGCCUGCAAUGCUGCAUUCUCACCACUGCACCACCACAUCUCAAAGGUGGAAGGACUUACGAAUACCUACAAUGGAAAAGUCGAUGGUGAAACUGAUGGAGAUGGCAAAACUGAUAGCUUUGAUUAAAGAAAAGAGUUUGACUAAUUGUAUUUUUACUUUGAAGCCAUUUUUGGAUUUGUUGUGAGGAACUGAAAGAAAUGAAAUAUUGAUUAAUGGGAUUUAAUCAUUAGAAUUAGGUUUAUAGAAAUUAUAUAGACAAAUUUUAACCUUAGAAUAAGAGUUUGGGGGGAGGGGCUAAAUUCAUUUUGUACUAGAGAAAGUCGGAAGUCAUUCUCUUGGUUUAUCUUUUCUUUAUCUUUUUGCAUCUCUGUCUUCUUUUUUUCUUGAUCUUUUUUCUUCAAUUUUUUUCUUCGUUGUUUAUCUAUUAAUCUUGUAUUUUUGAAAAUAA